RNAcentral lists this ribosomal RNA (253 nucleotides) under uncultured bacterium. Its description in RNAcentral is "partial 16S ribosomal RNA". It matches the Rfam family "Bacterial small subunit ribosomal RNA", at positions 524 to 776 of the family's 1533-position model. The record is from RNAcentral.
UACGGGGGGGGCAAGCGUUGUUCGGAAUUACUGGGCGUAAAGGGCUCGUAGGCGGCCAACUAAGUCAGACGUGAAAUCCCUCGGCUUAACCGGGGAACUGCGUCUGAUACUGGAUGGCUUGAAUCCGGGAGAGGGAUGCGGAAUUCCUGGUGUAGAGGUGAAAUUCGUAGAUAUCAGGAGGAACACCAGUGGCGAAGGCGGCUUUCUGGACGGUAACUGACGCUGAGACGCGAAAGCGUGGGGAGCAAACGGG